RNAcentral lists this ribosomal RNA (467 nucleotides) under uncultured bacterium. RNAcentral's name for it is "partial 16S ribosomal RNA". It matches the Rfam family "Bacterial small subunit ribosomal RNA", at positions 28 to 507 of the family's 1533-position model. The record is from RNAcentral.
GACGAACGCUGGCGACGUGCUUAACACAUGCAAGUCGAACGGAAAGGCCCUGCUUUUGUGGGGUGCUCGAGUGGCGAACGGGUGAGUAACACGUGAGUAACCUGCCCUUGACUUUGGGAUAACUUCAGGAAACUGGGGCUAAUACCGGAUAGGAGCUCCUGCUGCAUGGUGGGGGUUGGAAAGUUUCGGCGGUUGGGGAUGGACUCGCGGCUUAUCAGCUUGUUGGUGGGGUAGUGGCUUACCAAGGCUUUGACGGGUAGCCGGCCUGAGAGGGUGACCGGCCACAUUGGGACUGAGAUACGGCCCAGACUCCUACGGGAGGCAGCAGUGGGGAAUAUUGCACAAUGGGCGGAAGCCUGAGCAGCAACGCCGCGUGCGGGAUGACGGCCUUCGGGUUGUAAACCGCUUUCGCCUGUGACGAAGCGUGAGUGACGGUAAUGGGUAAAGAAGCACCGGCUAACUACGUG